AUGAAAAACACAAUUAUGAUAACGAUCAAAUGAUGAAUUGUACUGCGAUGGUUCAUGGGUCAAAGAUGAAAUUGUGACACUAUUAAUUUUGACGGUCAAGCACCAUUUUGUGGAUGUAUUUUUUAAAUCGAGGUGAAUCCAGGUUUUUGUACCAGUCCGGUAAAGAGUUAUAUAAAUUAGUUAUUUGAUACGUAAAGGAUCUCUCGAAUAGAGUUGUAUUAUGAUAUGGAGGAGUAAGUAAAUAUUUCAAUCUUGGAUUAGUGCUGAACUUAAUUUUAUCAUACAGAUACUUGUUUUUUAAAUCUUAAAGAGUGGUCUAGUGUUAGUACAAUGUAUUAACCAGCAAUAUGUGUCUGUGCACUCGAUUGCAACAUACUUAGGUCCAUCAAGAGCUGCUGCCCCUCCGGUGUUUUACGCCAUUACAGGUUGUGACACUCACUAUAUCAGGGUUUUUCGGUCGGGGCAAACAUGCAAAAGGGCAGUGUCUCGCAUAUGGAAAGACCCGUGGCAAGUGUAACAAAAAAAUCACUUAUAAUACGCCGCACGCCAUGAAAUGCCGGGAAUGUCAAUUUCAGUUCGCGAUCGGCUAUUGUUGGCCUCGUUGUUGGCUUAUUGGCUAUCUCUCUCACAUUCACAUAUGUUGGAACACAUUUAGUGGCUGUAGGCUAAUUCUAUGGAAUAUUUAAUAUGAUCUAGGCAUACGUGCAUCACUUUAAUUGUAAGUGUAUAGGAUACAAAAUAUUGUGUGCACCACGGCACGAAAGUUG
Photinus pyralis (common eastern firefly) is the source of this 767-nucleotide long non-coding RNA. RefSeq lists it as uncharacterized. Lineage: Eukaryota; Metazoa; Arthropoda; Insecta; Coleoptera; Lampyridae. The transcript is spliced from 3 exons. The record is from RefSeq and is a predicted model, not a curated record.